This is a microRNA precursor of Chinchilla lanigera (long-tailed chinchilla), 80 nucleotides long. Lineage: Eukaryota; Metazoa; Chordata; Mammalia; Rodentia; Chinchillidae. The record is from Ensembl.
UAUGAAUCUAGCGGAAACACCUCUGUACAAACUAGAGUCUGGACACCAGUGUGCGGAAGUGCUUCUGCUACAUUUUUAGG